GGCCGGCUGGCCUAAUGGUUAAGGCGUCAGUUUCCGGUUUCCGGAACCAGCUGAAGAUUCUGGGUUCGACUCCCAGGUUGGUCG
Trametes polyzona is the source of this 84-nucleotide non-coding RNA. Lineage: Eukaryota; Fungi; Basidiomycota; Agaricomycetes; Polyporales; Polyporaceae. The record is from the annotation of a GenBank genome assembly.